RNAcentral lists this small RNA (76 nucleotides) under Xanthomonas sp. NCPPB 1560. RNAcentral describes it as "sX9 sRNA". It matches the Rfam family "Xanthomonas sRNA sX9". Lineage: Bacteria; Pseudomonadati; Pseudomonadota; Gammaproteobacteria; Lysobacterales; Lysobacteraceae. RNAcentral also lists the same sequence under 6 other names. The record is from RNAcentral.
AUGUAUCACGCGUACACUCCGGUUUCUGCGCGCCCCCCGCACCGACCUGACGACUGGUCGCUACGUGGUGUGAGCC